UACGUAGGUGGCGAGCGUUGUCCGGAUUUAUUGGGCGUAAAGCGCGCGCAGGUGGUCCGUUAAGUCCUGUGUGAAAUCUCCCGGCUCACCCGGGAGGGGGCGCGGGAUACUGGGGGACUGGAGGCAGGCAGAGGCCGGUGGAAUUCCCGGUGUAGUGGUGAAAUGCGUAGGGAUCGGGAGGAACACCAGUGGCGAAAGCGGCGCUCUGGUCCAUAACUGACGCUGAGGGGCGAAAGCGUGGGGAGCGAACGGG
Molecule: ribosomal RNA, 253 nt
Filed under: uncultured bacterium
Lineage: Bacteria
Description: partial 16S ribosomal RNA
Rfam family: Bacterial small subunit ribosomal RNA
Source: RNAcentral